This 68-nucleotide transfer RNA is filed under the name Phyllostomus discolor (pale spear-nosed bat). Its description in RNAcentral is "tRNA-Thr". The record is from RNAcentral. Lineage: Eukaryota; Metazoa; Chordata; Mammalia; Chiroptera; Phyllostomidae.
GUCCAUGUAGUAUACUAAUUAUACUGGUCUUGUAAACCAGAGAAGGGAAUUAAACUUCCCCAUAGACU